This 253-nucleotide ribosomal RNA is filed under the name uncultured bacterium. Its description in RNAcentral is "partial 16S ribosomal RNA". It matches the Rfam family "Bacterial small subunit ribosomal RNA", at positions 524 to 776 of the family's 1533-position model. The record is from RNAcentral.
UACGUAGGUGGCAAGCGUUGUCCGGAUUUACUGGGCGUAAAGAGGGCGCAGGCGGUCGUUCAAGUCGCGUGUGAAAGCCCCCGGCUCAACUGGGGAGGGUCACGCGAUACUGAUCGACUCGAAGGCAGGAGAGGGUAGUGGAAUUCCCGGUGUAGUGGUGAAAUGCGUAGAUAUCGGGAGGAACACCAGUGGCGAAGGCGACUACCUGGCCUGUUCUUGACGCUGAGGCGCGAAAGCUAGGGGAGCAAACGGG